This 65-nucleotide transfer RNA is filed under the name Tenebrionoidea sp. 19 KM-2017. Its description in RNAcentral is "tRNA-Ala". The record is from RNAcentral. Lineage: Eukaryota; Metazoa; Arthropoda; Insecta; Coleoptera.
AGGAUAAUAGUUUAAUAAAAACAUUUAAAUUGCAAUUAAAAAAAACCAAAAACCGGUUUAUCUUU